GAUGAACGCUGGCGGCGUGCUUAACACAUGCAAGUCGAACGAUGAAGCCCAGCUUGCUGGGUGGAUUAGUGGCGAACGGGUGAGUAACACGUGAGUAACCUGCCCUUAACUCUGGGAUAAGCCUGGGAAACUGGGCCUAAUACCGGAUAGGAGCGUCCACCGCAUGGUGGGUGUUGGAAAGCUUUCUCGGUUUUGGAUGGACUCGCGGCCUAUCAGCUUGUUGGUGAGGUAAUGGUACCCCAAGGCGACGACGGGUCGCCGGCCUGAGGGGGGGACCGGCCACACUGGGACUGAGGCACGGACCAGACUCCUACGGGAGGCAGCAGUGGAGAAUAUUGCACAAUGGUCGCAAGCCUGAUGCAGCGACGCCGCGUGAGGGAUGACGGCCUUCGGGUUGUAAACCGCUUUCAGUAGGGAAGAAGCGAAAGUGACGGUACCUGCAGAAGAAGCACCGGCUAACUACGUG
Molecule: ribosomal RNA, 466 nt
Filed under: uncultured bacterium
Lineage: Bacteria
Description: partial 16S ribosomal RNA
Rfam family: Bacterial small subunit ribosomal RNA
Source: RNAcentral